GAGACAAUAAUGAAGAAUUAAACACAAUUCACUAAUACAAUAUGGUUCUAAAAACUAAGUGAAUAGUAUAAGAUAGUGAUUCAUCAAAAGAGACCACUCUUAGUCUUUUGCACUCAUGGGCAAAAUCAAGACGCAAAACAAGGAAAAAUUCAAAAGACAUUAAGAGAAUGACCCAACCUUUAGGAAAAAAAAACAAAAAAAAAAAGAUUAACACAAUCUGUUGGGAUUGUUGACAACACAAUAUCUAUAUCAC
RNAcentral lists this long non-coding RNA (253 nucleotides) under Vigna radiata. RNAcentral's name for it is "long non-coding RNA (VRAD_LNC011555)". The record is from RNAcentral. Lineage: Eukaryota; Viridiplantae; Streptophyta; Magnoliopsida; Fabales; Fabaceae.